This 1574-nucleotide ribosomal RNA is filed under the name Nocardia cyriacigeorgica GUH-2. Its description in RNAcentral is "bacterial LSU rRNA". It matches the Rfam family "Bacterial large subunit ribosomal RNA", at positions 1 to 1484 of the family's 2925-position model. Lineage: Bacteria; Bacillati; Actinomycetota; Actinomycetes; Mycobacteriales; Nocardiaceae. The record is from RNAcentral.
GUAAGUGUGUAAGAGCGUACGGUGGAUGCCUUGGCACCAGGAGCCGAUGAAGGACGUAGGAGGCUGCGAUAAGCCUCGGGGAGCUGUCAACCGAGCUGAGAUCCGAGGAUGUCCGAAUGGGGAAACCCAGCACGAGUGAUGUCGUGUUACCCGCGCCUGAAUGUAUAGGGCGUGUGGAGGGAACGUGGGGAAGUGAAACAUCUCAGUACCCACAGGAAGAGAAAACAAUAGUGAUUCCGUGAGUAGUGGCGAGCGAAAGCGGAAGAGGCUAAACCGUGUAGAUGUGAUAGCCGGCAGGCGUUGUCUAUGCGGGGUUGUGGGGCUCAUUUUCUCGUUACUGCCGUGGCGAGCAACAGUCAGAAAAGUUCGUGUUAGCUGAAUUGGUCUGGGACGGCCAACCAUAGACGGUGAGAGUCCGGUAAGCGAAAACACGUGCUCUGUUGUAGUGAGUUCCCGAGUAGCAGCGGGCCCGUGAAAUCUGCUGUGAAUCUGCCGGGACCACCCGGUAAGCCUGAAUACUCCCUGGUGACCGAUAGCGGACUAGUACCGUGAGGGAAAGGUGAAAAGUACCCCGGGAGGGGAGUGAAAUAGUACCUGAAACCGUGCGCUUACAAUCCGUCAGAGCCUUCGAGCAGCUUGCUGCUGGGGGUGAUGGCGUGCCUUUUGAAGAAUGAGCCUGCGAGUUAGUGGCAUGUGGCGAGGUUAACCCGUGGUGGGGUAGCCGUAGCGAAAGCGAGUCCGAAUAGGGCGUUUGAGUCGCGUGUUCUAGACCCGAAGCGGAGUGAUCUACCCAUGGCCAGGGUGAAGCGACGGUAAGACGUCGUGGAGGCCCGAACCCACUUAGGUUGAAAACUGAGGGGAUGAGCUGUGGGUAGGGGUGAAAGGCCAAUCAAACUCCGUGAUAGCUGGUUCUCCCCGAAAUGCAUUUAGGUGCAGCGUCACGUGUUUCACGCCGGAGGUAGAGCUACUGGAUGGCCUAGGGGGCCCACAAGCUUACCGAAGUCAGCCAAACUCCGAAUGCCGGUGUGUGAGAGCGUGGCAGUGAGACUGCGGGGGAUAAGCUUCGUAGUCGAGAGGGAAACAGCCCAGAUCGCCGGCUAAGGCCCCUAAGCGUGUACUAAGUGGAAAAGGAUGUGGAGUCGCGAAGACAACCAGGAGGUUGGCUUAGAAGCAGCCACCCUUGAAAGAGUGCGUAAUAGCUCACUGGUCAAGUGAUUCUGCGCCGACAAUGUAGCGGGGCUCAAGUACACCGCCGAAGCCGCGGCACUCCAACAUGACAUCCAUCAUCUCCUGCGGGGGAUGGUGCAGUGGUUGGGGUGGGUAGGGGAGCGUCGUACAGCCAGGGAAGCAGCGGUGUGAACCAGUUGUGGAGGCUGUGCGAGUGAGAAUGCAGGCAUGAGUAGCGAAAGACGAGUGAGAAACUCGUCCGCCGAAUGACCAAGGGUUCCUGGGCCAGGUUAAUCCGCCCAGGGUGAGUCGGGACCUAAGGCGAGGCCGACAGGCGUAGUCGAUGGACAACGGGUUGAUAUUCCCGUACCCGUGUAUCCGCGCCCAUGCUGAAUCAGUGGUACUAA